Molecule: ribosomal RNA, 253 nt
Filed under: uncultured bacterium
Lineage: Bacteria
Description: partial 16S ribosomal RNA
Rfam family: Bacterial small subunit ribosomal RNA
Source: RNAcentral
UACGAAGGGGGCUAGCGUUGUUCGGAAUUACUGGGCGUAAAGCGCGUGUAGGCGGCAGCGUGUGUCGGGCGUGAAAUCCCACGGCUCAACCGUGGAAGUGCACUCGAAACUGCGCAGCUAGAGUCCUGGAGAGGAAGGUGGAAUGCUUGGUGUAGAGGUGAAAUUCGUAGAUAUCAAGCGGAACACCGGUGGCGAAGGCGACCUUCUGGACAGUGACUGACGCUGAGACGCGAAAGCGUGGGGAGCAAACAGG